CAGUCGCCCACGGGAACACGUAGGGUGCGAGCGUUAAUCGGAAUUACUGGGCGUAAAGCGUGCGCAGGCGGUUGUGUAAGACAGGUGUGAAAUCCCCGGGCUUAACCUGGGAACUGCGCUUGUGACUGCACAGCUAGAGUAUGGCAGAGGGGGGUGGAAUUCCACGUGUAGCAGUGAAAUGCGUAGAGAUGUGGAGGAACACCGAUGGCGAAGGCAGCCCCCUGGGCCAAUACUGACGCUCAUGCACGAAAGCGUGGGGAGCAAACAGGAUUAGAGACCCCUGUAGUCCCUGUCUCUUAUU
This 301-nucleotide ribosomal RNA is filed under the name uncultured bacterium. RNAcentral describes it as "partial 16S ribosomal RNA". It matches the Rfam family "Bacterial small subunit ribosomal RNA", at positions 509 to 808 of the family's 1533-position model. The record is from RNAcentral.